GUGGAGCAUGCGUGACUUGGCAGAAAAUGAACUCAAUGACUGAGAAGAAAGCCCCUGGGUACCAGUAUCGGUGGGAUGAAGCCCACGUACAGCACACAUUUGUAACACAAAAAAGCAGGGGAUGGUUUCUGCCAUAAACUUGAAUAUUUUUCUGCAGAACUUUUCAACUGCAGUUGCUAGUCUACAGAAACUUCCUGUCUGUCCACGAAGAUGUUAAUGCCCCAACAUACAAUGUGCCUAGAUCAUGUGUUGGUGUGAUUGUCAGUCUUGCUAUCUGAACAGUCUCACUGUGAAUAAUGUUUUUUGUUUGUUUGUUUGUUUUCCCUUAGCAAUAUACAAACUAUCACUGUUCUUUGGACAGAUUGUCAGAUGCGAAAAGGUUGAAAACCACUUGUUUUUCAGUCCUGAGUUGUUCAGUAGUUUGGCCAAUGGCAGAAAAUAUGUACUAUGUGGUUCUAAAAGGGUCUGUCUUAAUGUUUAGGUGUGUUGCAGGCAAUACCCUCCUGGUUUGUUUAAUUAUACCCUGUGAUAUUCA
Long non-coding RNA from Sorex araneus (European shrew), 535 nucleotides. RefSeq lists it as uncharacterized. NCBI's taxonomy places the organism in Eukaryota, Metazoa, Chordata, Mammalia, Eulipotyphla, Soricidae. The record is from RefSeq and is a predicted model, not a curated record. The transcript is spliced from 2 exons.